GAUGAGCAUGCGUCCCAUUAGCUAGUUGGUAAGGUAACGGCUUACCAAGGCUACGAUGGGUAGGGGUCCUGAGAGGGAGAUCCCCCACACUGGUACUGAGACACGGACCAGACUCCUACGGGAGGCAGCAGUGAGGAAUAUUGGACAAUGGGCGCAAGCCUGAUCCAGCCAUGCCGCGUGCAGGAUGACGGUCCUAUGGAUUGUAAACUGCUUUUAUACGAGAAGAAACACUCCGACGUGUCGGAGCUUGACGGUAUCGUAAGAAUAAGGAUCGGCUAACUCCGUGCCAGCAGCCGCGGUAAUACGGAGGAUCCAAGCGUUAUCCGGAAUCAUUGGGUUUAAAGGGUCCGUAGGCGGUUUAAUAAGUCAGUGGUGAAAGCCCAUCGCUCAACGGUGGAACGGCCAUUGAUACUGUUAGACUUGAAUUAUUAGGAAGUAACUAGAAUAUGUAGUGUAGCGGUGAAAUGCUUAGAGAUUACAUGGAAAUACCAUUGCGAANGCAGGUUACUACUAAUUGAUUGA
This 522-nucleotide ribosomal RNA is filed under the name uncultured bacterium. RNAcentral describes it as "bacterial SSU rRNA". It matches the Rfam family "Bacterial small subunit ribosomal RNA", at positions 224 to 743 of the family's 1533-position model. The record is from RNAcentral.